This 429-nucleotide ribosomal RNA is filed under the name Gemmatimonadota bacterium. RNAcentral describes it as "Gemmatimonadetes bacterium partial 16S ribosomal RNA". It matches the Rfam family "Bacterial small subunit ribosomal RNA", at positions 355 to 776 of the family's 1533-position model. Lineage: Bacteria; Pseudomonadati; Gemmatimonadota. The record is from RNAcentral.
UAGGGAAUCUUCGGCAAUGGACGAAAGUCUGACCGAGCAACGCCGCGUGAGUGAAGAAGGUUUUCGGAUCGUAAAACUCUGUUGUUAGAGAAGAACAAGGACGUUAGUAACUGAACGUCCCCUGACGGUAUCUAACCAGAAAGCCACGGCUAACUACGUGCCAGCAGCCGCGGUAAUACGUAGGUGGCAAGCGUUGUCCGGAUUUAUUGGGCGUAAAGCGAGCGCAGGCGGUUUCUUAAGUCUGAUGUGAAAGCCCCCGGCUCAACCGGGGAGGGUCAUUGGAAAGUGGGAGACUUGAGUGCAGAAGAGGAGAGUGGAAUUCCAUGUGUAGCGGUGAAAUGCGUAGAUAUAUGGAGGAACACCAGUGGCGAAGGCGGCUCUCUGGUCUGUAACUGACGCUGAGGCUCGAAAGCGUGGGGAGCAAACAGG